GGUGGCUCAGUGGUAGAGCGCUUGCCUGGCAUGCAUGAAGCCCUGGGUUAGAUUCCUUGACACCA
Molecule: transfer RNA, 65 nt
Filed under: Dipodomys ordii (Ord's kangaroo rat)
Lineage: Eukaryota; Metazoa; Chordata; Mammalia; Rodentia; Heteromyidae
Rfam family: tRNA
About the family: Transfer RNA (tRNA) molecules are approximately 80 nucleotides in length.
Source: Rfam by way of RNAcentral